Non-coding RNA from Jatropha curcas, 511 nucleotides. The record is from RefSeq and is a predicted model, not a curated record. Lineage: Eukaryota; Viridiplantae; Streptophyta; Magnoliopsida; Malpighiales; Euphorbiaceae.
CUUGACUGGCGUUCCAUUUAUAUGGGCUCUUUCCUUUUCUUUCAAGUGCAAACCAAUAACUUCUUAAUUACCAUGAUCAGUUUUCUGACUCAGGACUUAGUCACAAGUAAUGCUCUUCGUCCCUCCCUAUGAGUGCAUUUAAUGGAGAUCAAAAUCAAGAGUUAUUUUCACAUGCCAGCCUGCGUUGCUAACGGAACCACAAUCAGUAGAUAAAAUAAUAAAAUUUAAAGGGAAAAUUGGCCUGCAUGCAUGCCCAUGGUUUAUUGUCUGCCGCCGGCGGAAUGAUUGAUCGUGAUGGAUCAUGGAUGUGACAAUGUUGAUGGAAGCAUUUUUGGCCGAUACAUAUAAAAAAUAGAGAAUCAUCUCCUCGAGCUCUAGCAGAAUGGUUUUUCCAAAGAUUCAUCCCUAUACUUUCGGUCCUUUUCUUUUCCUGUCAGAUUAUAGUUUUGGCUCAACCAAACAAAGCCUUCAAAUAUAGUUAAUUGUAUCUCUCUAUCACUUCUUUUUUUCU